GACCCACUGUGUACAACUGUACACAUUAAACUUCCAAAUCGGUUUAUGAAGACAAAAAAAAUUUACAACGAUUGUGUACGAUUGUGUACAUUAUGUAGUUUCAUUUGUCUAUACGUAUAACUAUCUAUGGCCAAGAAGUUUUUUUUUAAAAACAUUUGAAAGUUGGAGUGUAUUGUUGUUUUGCGAGGUGCUGGAUUGGGAUUUUUCGGGAAGCUAUAUUUAGUAAAUUUUUUCUAUUUUCGUGAGUCAGUUAAUAUUUUUAAGUUACUUUAAAGCUUUAUCUACUACCUGAAAUUCAUUUCCAUUAAUUUUGUAAAUAUUUGAAUUAGUUUUAUUGAAAAAAGUUAAUGUGUACAAUUGUAACCAAACGGCCGUGAGUGAAGCAGUGUCUAGUUCUCAAGCACUGAGCGAGAAUGGCAGAACAUUUCAAAAGGUUUUGAGGACAGAUGCAACUUUCCACACAACCUUGGAGCAAUAGAUGGAAAACAUGUCUGGAUAAUUCCACCAGCUGACAGUGGUGUUUUUUACUACAAUUAUAAGGGUUACAACAGUCUUGUUCUACUAGCGAUCGCAAAUGCUAACUACGAGUUCGUUCUUUGUGAUUUCGGACCAAACGGUCGUGUUUCUGAUGGAGGUGAAAGCAACACAAAUUUCUAUAGAAAACUUGUGAAUGGAGCACUGAAUAUUCCACGACAUGGACGUGUGGGAAAUAGUGAACUAGAUUUACCGUAUGUAUUUGUAGGCGACGAUGCAUUUGCUCAAGCCCUUCAGUUACACUGAUUUGGAUCCUGCUCAUCGCAUUUACAACUACCGCAUUUCAAGAGCACGUAGAAUAAUUGAAAAUGUUUUUGGUAUAUUGGUAGCACGGUUUCGUAUCUUCCACACCCCAAUUAAUAUGGACCUCCAUAAAAUUGAUGAUGUGGUAAUGGCUUGUUGCGUUUUACACCACUACUUGCGUAAAACGUGUCGCACUAGGUAUGCACCGUGUGAAUGUUUGGAUUUUGACGACUCUGACAUAGGUUCAACCACUUUGGGUCUGCGGCCAGAUGUGGAGCAAUUUGUUGAACUUCAGAAUGGAAUGGUCCGCAAUGCAACAAAUGACGCGAAAGCUGUGAGAGACAUGUAUGUUAAGUACUUUAAUACCGAAGGGAAAGUGCCAUGGCAGGACAGUGUUUAAUGACACAAUUCUUCUUUUGGCAAAACCCUGGUGAUUUUUGCAAUGCAUGUUGUGUAUUUUAGUUAAAUUUAUUCAUACAAAUGCAAAAACUAUGGAUAACACUAUCACCAAAUAUGACUUAAGAUACAUCCUACCUCAACGAUUCUUACCUAAAACAUGUUAUCAGCAUCUGUCGUUUAAGCAAUCUUUGUCAUUUGUUACCUGUAAUGUUUUUCACAAACUUUUUCUGUUACCACAUAUAGCCUAUGCAUAAACUUCUGUAAACUUCAUUGUUAAUAAUAAUAUAAACAUAUACAGAAUA
Molecule: long non-coding RNA, 1478 nt
Organism: Bacillus rossius redtenbacheri
Lineage: Eukaryota; Metazoa; Arthropoda; Insecta; Phasmatodea; Bacillidae
Exons: 2
Source: RefSeq, a predicted model, not a curated record